RNAcentral lists this long non-coding RNA (1382 nucleotides) under Anas platyrhynchos platyrhynchos (common mallard). RNAcentral describes it as "lncRNA (ENSAPLG00000019919.1)". Lineage: Eukaryota; Metazoa; Chordata; Aves; Anseriformes; Anatidae. The record is from RNAcentral.
UUGGGCCCCUCGCUACAAGAAGGACAUGGAGGUGCUUGAGCGGGUCCAAAGAAGGGAGACGAAGCUGGUGAGGGGCCUGGAGAACAAGUCCUACGAGGAGCGGCUGAGGGAGCUGGGCUUGUUCAGCCUGGAGAAAAGGGGGCUCAGGGGCAACCUUAUUGCUCUCUACAGUCAAAAAGAAAGAAAGAAGUGGGGUGAAUCCAUGCUCACCUUGCAAUAUUUCACUGGAUGCCUCAGAAGAGCUGAUGAAGAUAGUGAGCAAUGGGUAAGCAAGGGAGGGGACUGCAGUGCUGGACCGUCUUCCUGUAAAAACAGCAAAAACAGGAGCGGUGGGUGGACGGAGCACGGAAGUGUCAUGUGCGAAGAAUGUGUGGAAUGAGGGGAUGACUGAAGAGCUGAUGUCAGGACAGCGUAUGAUCCCUGGUACCCUGGGGGAGGAGAGCUGCAUGGAAGGCUACGAAGAGCCAUGUGCCUCUUGAAAUCUGCCAGUUAAGUAUUGCAAUCGUUGGGCCCUAUCUGGUAAGGGCUUCUUGCCCUCCUUUCCCACCAACAUUCCUGGGAGCUGAGGGUGUCACUGUUGGGCACUUACGCCCUAAGUGAUAGGGGCAUAAAACGAUUUGUGGCACUUACGCACAUAUGUGAUACAGACGGGAUGAAAAUGCAUCACUUCUAAACCCUCAAGCUUCUGUAGAUUUGGUAAUCUCCACAGAGGUGUUGUGCUAAGAUUGUGCUGUACAUUUUGUUUCCUCAUUUUGUUUCCAUAAGCAAAGCACUUGGCUGAUAGCACAGGAAACCAACUGCUAUGGGCAUUCACUUCAAUGGGUGAACUUUAAACGAGUCACCAGGGACUGGCUGCUGCUGAGUUCAAAGAGAAAGAGACAUCCAAAACCUCUAGUGAAGCCAAGUUAUGGUGGGAAAUGCCAGAUACAAACAGGAGAAAACUGGAAAGCACAGUAGGGUGAAAGACAGAUAGAGUUAUGUUUUCCUGUCCCUAGUUGGUCAGAUUUAGGCGAGGUGGGAAUGCAGAUUUUAAAAGAAAUAACAUAAAAUUUUACUAAGGGAAGUUUGUUGAACAUCAGGAAAUGUGCUCUGGUGUUGAUGUUCUAUGAGCUGAGCACAAUAAUCUGGGAAUGGAAACAUGCUGAGAAAGUUAAUAUGGUACUUGACAAAAUACUGGAAAAUAUAUUAAAAAGAACAGUUUUGUGCAGGGCAGAAGGUAGAGCAAAUGACCCACUAAGCUUCUCCAUUUAUCCUCUUUAUUUUUUUUUUCUUUCCCCAUUGAUUUCAAAAAUCUCUCAUGCUCUCAUGCAACUGAAAGAGAAGGAGCCACCCCCCACAUCCAUCCAGUGAAGGAAAGAGAAUUUGUUCAUAGCAAUGGAAAA